This 490-nucleotide ribosomal RNA is filed under the name uncultured bacterium. RNAcentral's name for it is "partial 16S ribosomal RNA". It matches the Rfam family "Bacterial small subunit ribosomal RNA", at positions 30 to 507 of the family's 1533-position model. The record is from RNAcentral.
AUUGAACGCUGGCGGCAGGCCUAACACAUGCAAGUCGAACGGUAACAGGAAGAAGCUUUCUUCUUUGCUGACGAGUGGCGGACGGGUGAGUAAUGUCCGUGAAACUGCCUGAUGGAGGGGGAUAACUACUGGAAACGGUAGCUCAUACCGCAUAACGUCCCUAGACCAAAGAGGGGGACCUUCUGGCCUCUUGCCCUCUGAUGUGCCCAGAUGGGAUUAGCUAGUAGGUGGGGUAACGGCUCACCUAGGCGACGAUCCCUAGCUGGUCUGAGAGGAUGACCAGCCACACUGGAACUGAGACACGGUCCAGACUCCUACGGGAGGCAGCAGUGGGGAAUAUUGCACAAUGGGCGCAAGCCUGAUGCAGCCAUGCCGCGUGUAUGAAGAAGGCCUUCGGGUUGUAAAGUACUUUCAGCGGGGAGGAAGGGAGUAAAGUUAAUACCUUGGCUCAUUGACGUUACCCGCAGAAGAAGCACCGGCUAACUCCGUG